GGGGCCGUUCCUCUACUACCCUCCGACCGUGUCGAUACCAGUCAGUGAUCACGCCGCGUCGGUCGGUAAUCAGCUGGUUCGUGGUUAGAACCGCGCGUGGAUAUUGUUCAACGAUCGCAAGCUACGCGGUACACCGUCCAGUUGCUGCUGCAGCUGAAUGACCGGACGCCGAGACGUGGAGGUACAAGUGGUUGUGUACGAGAUUAAAAUCGAUAACGGCCGUCACUUUUUGUCUUUGUCGUGUUGCGCAAUCAUACUACGACGGCUGACGGAGACGCCACUGGCCGUUUAUUGUUUCAUCAGUGACACACCGACGCGACAUCGGGUCUUUUUCGUUUGCCGUUCGCGCCUGUUUAUCCGUUGCUGAAUAAUGUUCGCCUCGUUUGUCACUCGUUAUUGGCCCCGCCAUUGAGCCAUCCGCUCGUUCGUGUAGUCCGUUUUGGUUGAAUAAUAAUAAAUGUCAUUGCCCGACGGCUAGUACAUCAGUAAAGUUUUUCCCGGUGCACGUCGUCGUUUCGUUUAUAACGCUCAAAUUGUCUGUCUACUACCAACGGAAAGAGCAAAAAUAUAUUCUUGUCCAAAUACUGCCAAUAACUCAAAACUUCACAUAACGACCUCUAAAAAAAUAAGAAAAUGGAGUCUUCUAUGCAUGUAGACGAUAGUCAACUGGAAAACGAAAAACUUACUUUAGAUGUGUGUAUAAUGUUGAAUUAUAAUGUCCCAGUUCAAAAAUCUGCAGAUACUGUACAAGUGGAAGAAACUGAUAACUCCUCAAAAGCAAAUACUGCAGCUUUUAAUAUAUUAAGUCCGGUACCACAAAAGGAGGAAAAACAAUUUAGUUGCUUGUUUUUCAUCGUAUGACUGCCAAUUACUUUGUCGUAAACACAUUCAUGAAAAACAUAUGAAGAAUGUAACUACUACAAUUUUAAGAAGGGAAAAAGCAAAAAAAUAUUCUUGUCCAGAUACUGCCAACAACUCAAAACUCCACAUAACGACCCCCCCAAAAAUAUAAGAAAGUGACUCAACUUUGCACAUAGACAAUAAUCAACUGGGUAACAAAAAAAGUAAUGAAGUUGCGAGUAUGAUGUCCCUACUCAAAAAUCUGCAGAUACUGAACAAGUGGAAGAAACUGAUAACUCCUCAAAAACAAAUACUGCAGCUUUUAAUAUAUUAAAUCCGGUCCUGAUUAAAUCGGCGUGCUACCGAGAAAUUCUCGGAAGGACAGCGGCUCAAAUUUGGAACUGAAGAAAGAGUUUAAUAUGUUAUUAAAAAUUAAAAAUAUAAGAUUAUCGCAGAGGCGUAUGCAGGAUUUUUCAACUGGUAGGGGGGGGGGGGGCUUGAAAAUUAGUUACAUUUUUAUUUAUAUUUUGUCCAUUCUAAUAAUUUCAGACGUUUAUUUGAGUUAUUUUAAAAUGUUUGUAACUUCUCAACUUUUCUGGUAGAAAAAAUGCUCUAAUCAUAAACUUCGAUGCCUGAUGUAUGUUUUUGGAAGCAAAUUGGAUUGGAUCUAGUUGGUACUUUUAGGAGGUCGAAAUUAAAAAUGCUCAGUGCUUUUUAAAAUAAUUAAAGAAAAAAAAAAUUAUUAAAAUUGUUUGGUAACUAGUUUGGUUGUACCGUCCUCACUUGGAUUGUACUUGAUUAAUU
This is a long non-coding RNA of Metopolophium dirhodum (rose-grain aphid), 1644 nucleotides long. RefSeq lists it as uncharacterized. The transcript is spliced from 5 exons. Lineage: Eukaryota; Metazoa; Arthropoda; Insecta; Hemiptera; Aphididae. The record is from RefSeq and is a predicted model, not a curated record.